This 253-nucleotide ribosomal RNA is filed under the name uncultured bacterium. RNAcentral's name for it is "partial 16S ribosomal RNA". It matches the Rfam family "Bacterial small subunit ribosomal RNA", at positions 524 to 776 of the family's 1533-position model. The record is from RNAcentral.
GACAGAGGGGGCAAGCGUUGCUCGGAAUCACUGGGCGUAAAGGGCGCGUAGGCGGGAUGGCAAGUCGGUCGUGAAAUCCUUCGGCUCAACCGAAGAACGUCGGCCGAUACUGCCGUUCUUGAGGGAUGCAGAGGAGAUUGGAAUUCCCGGUGUAGCGGUGAAAUGUGUAGAGAUCGGGAGGAACACCGGUGGCGAAGGCGGGUCUCUGGGCAUCUCCUGACGCUGAGGCGCGAAAGCGUGGGGAGCAAACGAG